CGCCCCCCUAAUUUUGCAAGUCGAGCGAUGAAACCCUUCGGGGUGAAUUAGCGGCGGACGGGUGAGUAACACGUGGGUAACCUGCCUCAAAGAGGGGAAUAGCCUUCCGAAAGGAAGAUUAAUACCGCAUAAUAUGUUUUGGUCGCAUGACUGGAACAUCAAAGGAGUCUUCUUCGUAAGAAGAAGCAUCCGCUUUGAGAUGGACCCGCGGCGCAUUAGCUAGUUGGUGAGGUAACGGCUCACCAAGGCGACGAUGCGUAGCCGACCUGAGAGGGUGAUCGGCCACAUUGGAACUGAGACACGGUCCAGACUCCUACGGGAGGCAGCUGUGGGGAAUAUUGCGCAAUGGGGGAAACCCUGACGCAGCAACGCCGCGUGAAUGAUGAAGGCCUUCGGGUUGUAAAGUUCUGUCUUCUGGGACGAUAAUGACGGUACCAGAGGAGGAAGCCACGGCUAACUACGUGCCAGCAGCCGCGGUAAUACGUAGGUGGCAAGCGUUGUCCGGAUUUACUGGGCCGUAAAGGAUGCGUAGGCGGACAUUUAAGUUCA
RNAcentral lists this ribosomal RNA (549 nucleotides) under uncultured bacterium. Its description in RNAcentral is "bacterial SSU rRNA". It matches the Rfam family "Bacterial small subunit ribosomal RNA", at positions 43 to 591 of the family's 1533-position model. The record is from RNAcentral.